Molecule: ribosomal RNA, 119 nt
Filed under: Meriones unguiculatus (Mongolian gerbil)
Lineage: Eukaryota; Metazoa; Chordata; Mammalia; Rodentia; Muridae
Source: RNAcentral
GGCUACAGACAUACCACGCUGACUGGGUACAAUCUCAUCUGAUCUUAGAAGCCAAGUAGGGUCGGGCCUGGUUAGUACUUUGAUGGGAGACCGACUGGGGAUACUGGGUGCUGUAGGCU